This 263-nucleotide ribosomal RNA is filed under the name uncultured bacterium. Its description in RNAcentral is "partial 16S ribosomal RNA". It matches the Rfam family "Bacterial small subunit ribosomal RNA", at positions 524 to 786 of the family's 1533-position model. The record is from RNAcentral.
UACGUAGGGGGCAAGCGUUAUCCGGAAUUACUGGGUGUAAAGGGUGAGUAGGCGGCAUGAUAAGUAAGAUGUGAAAGCCCGCAGCUUAACUGCGGGAUUGCAUUUUAAACUAUUGAGCUAGAGUACAGGAGAGGAAAGCGGAAUUCCCAGUGUAGCGGUGAAAUGCGUAGAUAUUGGGAAGAACACCAGUGGCGAAGGCGGCUUUCUGGACUGAAACUGACGCUGAGGCACGAAAGCGUGGGGAGCGAACAGGAUUAGAUACC